Long non-coding RNA from Apis laboriosa (Himalayan honeybee), 452 nucleotides. RefSeq lists it as uncharacterized. The record is from RefSeq and is a predicted model, not a curated record. NCBI's taxonomy places the organism in Eukaryota, Metazoa, Arthropoda, Insecta, Hymenoptera, Apidae. The transcript has 3 exons.
AACGAAACGAAACGAAGCAAUACGACACAAUGCGACACACCACGCACUAGAUUCGAGAUUCUUUUUCCUUCCGUCGAUGCUCCUGUUAUUAUUCAUGUGGAUUCAUCGAGGAUGGUGUAUUCCAGAAGGAGCCGGGCGAGGGUUCUGCACAGGCGUCCUCCGUCGUCUUCUACCGAAGGCCGUGUGGUGUCACGGUGAGCGUGGCAAAACCCGGAAAGAAGAAAAGAAGCCGAAGGAGCGUGAAGAAGUACGAAGGAAUACGAAGGAGCCCGAAGGAGCUAAAAGACUCUCCUCCUAUUUCUUCUCUUCAUCAUCUUCUUUUAGUUUUCUUCACCGAAACCAGCUCCUGAUUAUCAGUAUAGUACAUACAUAUACGUAUAAUAUAACGAAAUAAAAUUUUGAUUCUCUUCCCAUUGUCUUUAUAUUAUAAUUUUAACUAAUUUUUUUUACAC